GACGAACGCUGGCGGCGUGCCUAAUACAUGCAAGUAGAACGCUGAAGGAGGAGCUUGCUUCUCUGGAUGAGUUGCGAACGGGUGAGUAACGCGUAGGUAACCUGCCUGGUAGCGGGGGAUAACUAUUGGAAACGAUAGCUAAUACCGCAUAAUAGCAGUUGUUGCAUGACAACUGUUUGAAAGGUGCAAUUGCACCACUACCAGAUGGACCUGCGUUGUAUUAGCUAGUUGGUGGGGUAACGGCUCACCAAGGCGACGAUACAUAGCCGACCUGAGAGGGUGAUCGGCCACACUGGGACUGAGACACGGCCCAGACUCCUACGGGAGGCAGCAGUAGGGGAUCUUCGGCAAUGGACGGAAGUCUGACCGAGCAACGCCGCGUGAGUGAAGAAGGUUUUCGGAUCGUAAAGCUCUGUUGUAAGAGAAGAACGAGUGUGAGAGUGGAAAGUUCACACUGUGACGGUAUCUUACCAGAAAGGGACGGCUAACUACGU
Molecule: ribosomal RNA, 494 nt
Filed under: uncultured bacterium
Lineage: Bacteria
Description: partial 16S ribosomal RNA
Rfam family: Bacterial small subunit ribosomal RNA
Source: RNAcentral